RNAcentral lists this ribosomal RNA (586 nucleotides) under uncultured bacterium. RNAcentral's name for it is "bacterial SSU rRNA". It matches the Rfam family "Bacterial small subunit ribosomal RNA", at positions 339 to 916 of the family's 1533-position model. The record is from RNAcentral.
CUACGGGAGGCAGCAGUCGAGAAUAGUCUACAAUGGUCGAAAGACUGAUAGUGCGNCGCCGCGUGAACGAAGAAGCCCUUCGGGGUGUAAAGUUCUUUUAUAUGUGAGCAGUGGGUUCCAUAUGAAUAGUAUGGGAUCAGAGAUAUUAGCAUAUGAAUAAGCAACGGCUAACUCCGUGCCAGCAGCCGCGGUAACACGGGGGUUGCGGGCGUUGUCCGGAAUUACUAGGCGUAAAGGGCAGGCAGGCGGAUCUAUAAGCUUUUCGUUUAAGGCGUCAGCUUAACUGGCGUACGGCGGGAGAUACUGUAGAUCUGGAAUGCGGUUGGGGAAGACAGAAUUCCUGGUGUAGCGGUGGAAUGCGCAGAGAUCAGGAGGAAUACCGAAGGCGAAGGCAGUCUUCCAAGCCGUCAUUGACGCUCAACUGCGAAGGUGUGGGUAUCAAACAGGAUUAGAUACCCUGGUAGUCCACACAGUAAACGAUGAUCACUGGGUGUCGGGUUCGAAGAGGAUUCGGUGCCGUAGCUAACGCGAUAAGUGAUUCGCCUGGGGAGUACGAUCGCAAGGUUAAACUCAAAUGAAUUGACGG